This 236-nucleotide ribosomal RNA is filed under the name uncultured bacterium. RNAcentral describes it as "partial 16S ribosomal RNA". It matches the Rfam family "Bacterial small subunit ribosomal RNA", at positions 119 to 353 of the family's 1533-position model. The record is from RNAcentral.
CGGAACGUGUCCUGUUGUGGGGGGAGUAACUGAUCGAAAGAUCAGCUAAUACCGCAUGAGACCUGAGGGUGAAAGCGGGGGAGUCGCAAGACCUCGCGCGACAGGAGCGGCCGAUGUCUGAUUAGCUAGUUGGUGAGAUAAAAGCUUACCAAGGCGACGAUCAGUAGCUGGUCUGAGAGGAUGAUCAGCCACAUUGGGACUGAGACACGGCCCAGACUCCUACGGGAGGCAGCAUG